This is a non-coding RNA of Camellia sinensis, 1632 nucleotides long. Lineage: Eukaryota; Viridiplantae; Streptophyta; Magnoliopsida; Ericales; Theaceae. The record is from RefSeq and is a predicted model, not a curated record.
UCAUGAUCUUUCUCAUAACAUUAUUUGAAUUGUUCUUAAAAAAAAAUUAGAAAAAAAAACUUACAAAUAUACUUGAAGAAAAAUUACAAUUAUUUUAAUAUUAUAAUUUUUUUUUUCAGUUGCAUAAAUAUGUGCAACAUUGUUACAUGGUAAGUUACGUACUUCAUUUUUUGUCAAUUUCAUCUUAUUUUUUGUAGUUUAAUGUUGUCAUAUAUGUAUGUCCAAAAUUGCAUCAAAACAAUUUGAAGAGAUUGUUGAACGUGACGUUUGAUAGUAAGUAUUUUUAAUUUUUUUUUUAUAUUUAAUUGAAUGUUUGAAAAAAUUAUAUUCAAUUUGUUUUAAAUUAUAUUUCAAGUUGCACACGCUUUGGCUCAUCAUUACCAGGUAAUCUCUUUCACUUGCAAUUUUAUUUAAUUCUCCACAAAAUGAUAUUAGUACUUAAAAUAUUAUGCAUUAUAAAAAUAUAUAAACAAACAUAUGAAAACACUUGCAUAAAGAUAUAAAGCUUUGUGAGUAUACGAGUGACAUUGCAGUUAACAAUCUCAUAAUAUAUUAUUACUGCCUUUCACAUAAUUACAUAUAAAUAACUAAAAAAUAUGAAAUUAGUAUCUAAUAUAUAAUGUAGGCACAUUUUAAAAAUAACUAGAUUUCAUCUACAUAACACAUAUUACUAAAAAUAAACAGUUCAAAAAACUUAAAAAUACAAACCUUAGGAUAUAUUAUUAUUGUCUUUCACAUAAUUUUAUAUAAUGUAGGCACAUUUUAAAAAUUGCCAGAUUUCAUCUACAUAAGUGUUAGUUUACUAACAAUCUCAGAAAAAAUGAAUCAUGAUUACCUCAACACAUCAAAUUUGAGACAUGUACAACAACAAAAUCGUGAACGAUGUUGUUUAUAUCUACAACAGAGGAGGCAACGCUCAGCUUCGGAAUCAAAUGCUCAAACUGAACAACCACAAAGAGAACUCGAAUAGUUUCGCCUUCAAAACUUGAGCACUGAACAACGCUCAGCAAGAUUGGAGCAACGUCGUCUUACUCAGCGUAGGCGAAGAUUGUUCAUUCGCGAACAAAGCGCGAGUUCUAAUGUGUAAAAAAGAGAAAUUCAAAGGGAAAGUUUGCAUAAUUACGCUAGACAAAGGAGGGCUGCUUUGACUACUAAACAGCACGAACAACAACUAGCAAGGCGAUGAACAAAUUAUCGACAAAGAAGACAAAUAUCUGAAAAUCUCGAACAAACUUCUCAUCCAAAUCAAGCACAUAAUAUGACAAAUGCACAAACAAGUAGAUGCAAUCCCAAGAAGAAAUAGAACAGGAUGGCGCAGGCCGAGAGCAACAGUUUUGCCAACCAUUCACGAAGAAGGGGAUUUAGUUGCGACUAAUGUUUUUAGUCGGGAAAGUAGAAUGACUUUACGCUCACGUAUCAACUUAUCCCGAUAUGCACCUACUCAUUCGACUUAUGAGCAUGGAAGCACAAGUGGCAACAAACAAGAUGAUCCUCACGAAGUUAAAAUGGCCAUGCAAAUAUGAUAUCCAGUACAAUUACAAUUAAAAUUGAACAUGCAACUCAAACACUUUCAAAUAAAUAGUAUUGUGUUAAUAAUAAACCUAUACAUCAUACAUGUAUUGUCAUAGGAAA